Molecule: long non-coding RNA, 2243 nt
Organism: Meriones unguiculatus (Mongolian gerbil)
Lineage: Eukaryota; Metazoa; Chordata; Mammalia; Rodentia; Muridae
Exons: 5
Source: RefSeq, a predicted model, not a curated record
AAUUGCCCUCUGGUACUGAAGCAGGGCUGAGCCAAGUGCCCUGUAGAAUGUCAAGAGAGAACUAGCAGUAUGCACACACAGCAAAGAUCUCAGCGUGGCAUAGUCAGUUAUGGGAUAGUGAGUAGCUGUGGUCUGAAACAUUACUCCAUGUACCCUCCCUCCUUGCUCCUCCCCACUUCAAGCUUGGGUACUCAUGAGCACCAUUUGUUCUAAAACAAAGGAAAAAAUAUAUAUCUGUUAUGACUUCCCUCCUGGCUGGAUUCAGGAGCAGAGUGGUCCUGAUAGGAGUCCAUGGAAACGUGGGGGAAGCCACUCCGUUCUAGCUCUUUCCAGGCUGUCUGUGUGGCUCGGAGCCCUUCUUCCUUCCUCCUCCAUCCCACUAUGAUGGAACUCUUUUUUUAUACGAAUGUGCAGUUCAGGAUGUGAACCUUCAUGCUACCUACUGCCAUGCUUCCCCUGCCAUGAAGGACUCGCAACCAUCUGGAACCAUAAGACAACCACCACAGUCGAGUAGCUUUCUCCACACAUGUUCCCAGCAGUCGCUUGCUCCCUCAGCACAGCCCGAAGCAACACGCCCAAAUAAACAUGGAUCUGAAGAUCGGGCCGAAGUAAAACCUACCUGUUUUCAAUUUGGCUAUGUUAGGCAUUUUGUUUCGGUGCUAAAACAAUGACUCACACAGAAAUUGUGACUCAGGAUCUGAUGCUCUGUUCCAAGAAGAUCUGGGCCCUUGCUACACUUGCAGUCCAUGGACCAUUGAGUGAGAGUCCGUGAGAAAGCACCCGCUUGAUGUAAAAAUAAGAACCUAUAUUCAAGAAGAUAAUAGAGUGAUUCAUUCUCAAAUAUCUCAGCUCUGUGGAUAAACCCUGAAAAGAAGCUAUGUUGCCCUCUACAUACAGCAGAUGAUUAGACAGAAGACAGAACUCAAAUUACAAAAAUCUGGCAGCACAAGCUUUCUACUUUAUGAUCUAUUACUAAUAUUCUUUAAAAGUCAAAAAGAAAUAUUAACAUUUUCCCUUUUUCUUUUCUUUUCUAUUUUUUUUUCCUCCUAUUUUUGAAACAGGCCUUCAUAUAGUCCAGGCUGGUCUUGAACUCUCGGUGUAGCUGAGAAUGACUCUGAGCUCCUGAUCCUCCUGCUUUGGCUUUCCAGGUUCUGGGAUUACAGCCGUGUGCCACCACAGUUAGCUUAUUUGGUUCUGGUAAUAGAAUCCAAGGCUUUGUUCAUGCUAGGCAAUCACUAGACUGAUGGAGAUACAGCCGUGGCCUCGGAUUUCUUUUCUUUAAAUCAUAUUUUGAAGAAAAUAAAAUAAGCUGAGACGAUUCUUAAAAAGGAGAAAAAGGAUCCUUAAUACCACCACUUAAAAACAUAAGACUAAACACAGAAACCUGAGUCCAGAGCUCCCAGACAGUUUCAGGUCUCGCUUGGAAAAUUACCAGUUAACUGAUUGCAUUGUCGUUUAUCCUAAAUGCCUUUAUGCCUGAAUAUUUGGAUUUGUAUCUGUGCAUACAUGUUAUGAUGGUUCUCCUUAACCAUCUCACUGCAAGCUUUCCAAGCUAUCAUAAUGGAUGAUAUUCCAUGUGCUCCUCUGAAAGGCCUUCACCUCAGCCUAUUGACAGCUUUGUUUGAAAAGCAUUGUGCUUUAGGAAAGGGAGCGGAGAGCUUCGUGCAAAGAAAGCAGAUGUAAAGCAAACGGAAGCUCAGGGUGUCCUCCAGAUGCCCUGCGCCCUCUGCCCUCCUCUCCGCUAUCUUCAGUUCUGUCUGCCAGCUCUAUCACAGUAGGAUGCACACAGCACUCCUGGGCACACCCCUGUCCUCUGGAGUUUACUUCAAACAUGGUGGGCAGCCUGGCAGAGAGCCAAGGAGCUCAGGGAGUGUUCCCACUGAGGUCAGAAAGGGGCUCUCACACCACUCCUACGCUGGUAAUAUCUUACCUAAUGUGUUCUAGUGUCUUAAAAGAAAAUCUCCUCUCUCUUGAUUAGUUUCUUUAGAUGUGCAGAUUUUAGUAGGUUUAUCCUAUAUUAUAUGUCUAUGUGAGUGAGUAUAUACCGUGUGUGUCUUCCUGCUUCUGGGACAGAUCACUCAGGAUGAUCCUUUCCAGGUCCCACCAUUUACCUGCAAAUUUCAUGAUUUCCUUAUUUUUCAUGGCUGAGUAAUAUUCCAUUGUGUAGAUGUACCACAAUUUCUGCAUCCAUUCUUCAGUUGAGGGGCAUCUGGGCUGUUUCCACCUUCUGGCUAUUACAAAUA